RNAcentral lists this long non-coding RNA (944 nucleotides) under Vulpes vulpes (red fox). RNAcentral describes it as "lncRNA (ENSVVUG00000017337.1)". Lineage: Eukaryota; Metazoa; Chordata; Mammalia; Carnivora; Canidae. The record is from RNAcentral.
UGCAGAAAUGUCAGUUCAUUUGAUAUCUUUAUUUGUUACAUAUGGGCUUGAAGAAAGCAUGUUAUGUACAUUUUUGCUUUACAGAUACUCUUUUACAGGGUAUAUUCAACUGUCAGGGAAGUUUGAGGUCCAUCAAGGAGACAAGAUCUUUACUAAGAAGAUUUUGGAGCUUGGAGAAACGAAUAUAUGAUGAUUUCUCUGAUCACCUACCCUGGAACAAUAUGUAUUUAAAAAUAUCAUUCAGCAUUCAUUCAGAGAGGAUGUUUGGGACCUUAAGAUAGAAGCUGCCACAUAUAACUGUAUAGAGCCACAGACUCGAUGAUGAUAAAAGGACAUAGCCAUGCUAAGAAAUAUGCCUGAAAGGCAAACAAUCUCCCUCUAGUGUCCAAGAAGGAAAAUGUGCAGGCCCUUAUUGAGUGGAAUUUGUUGGAAACAAUGCUCAAGUGAAAUCCGAAGGUGGAGUUCAGUUUCUGCCUUUCCACUGAUGUGCUGAGCGACUGCAAACCAUUUAUUGAUCAGAAUCUUCAAUAAGUGAAGAGGUUUUAUUGCAUCAUUGUAAGCAACUUAGUAGCUGAUAAAAUUUAUUAGAGAUCAGUGUGCUUGCCAAAUGGCAAUUGUAAUUCUAUGUAUGAUCAUUUUUUCUAUAAACAUUUGUCAGCAUCAAACCCUGUGGAUGGAGCUAAGGUAUUUGGGGAAAAAAAUUACAAAAACAGAAAAUCAGAGUCUUUACUCUUGAUAACGACAAUAUAUUUUAGAUUUUCUGUCCUGAGUAUUUAUUCCCAGCCAUGCCUCUGCCACUAAGUGAAACAAUUUAUGGCUUCUUUCUUCCAGGGAAUGUGAAUGCUUAGAGAAUAGCAAUUCAUUUAGUGUCAGCUUAAGUAAACACAAGAAAGCAGUCUAUGAAAGGAAAUAAAAUAUUACAUUCUGAAAAUGGGUCUUGUGCU